This 406-nucleotide ribosomal RNA is filed under the name uncultured bacterium. Its description in RNAcentral is "partial 16S ribosomal RNA". It matches the Rfam family "Bacterial small subunit ribosomal RNA", at positions 30 to 526 of the family's 1533-position model. The record is from RNAcentral.
AUUGAACGCUGGCGGCAGGCCUAACACAUGCAAGUCGGGCGAGAGGCGGACGGGUGAGUAAUGUAUGGGGACCUGCCCGAUGGAGGGGGAUAACUACUGGAAACGGUAGCUAAUACCGCAUACCAUCAGAUGAACCCAUAUGGGAUUAGCUUGUAGGUGAGGUAACGGCUCACCUAGGCGACGAUCCCUAGCUGGUCUGAGAGGAUGACCAGCCACACUGGGACUGAGACACGGCCCAGACUCCUACGGGAGGCAGCAGUGGGGAAUCUUGGACAAUGGGGGCAAGCCUGAUGCAGCCAUGCCGCGUGUAUGAAGAAGGCCUUCGGGUUGUAAAGUACUUUCGGUCGGGAAGCGGUACCGGCAGAAGAAGCACCGGCUAACUCCGUGCCAGCAGCCGCGGUAAUUC